Molecule: non-coding RNA, 110 nt
Organism: Acanthosepion pharaonis
Lineage: Eukaryota; Metazoa; Mollusca; Cephalopoda; Sepiida; Sepiidae
Source: the annotation of a GenBank genome assembly
GGCCAUAUCACAUUGAUACAGCAGUUCUUGUCUGAUCAUCAAAGUUAAACAAGGUUGAACUUGGUCAGUACUUAGAUGGGUGACCACUCAGAAAUACCACGUGUUGUAAG